GACGAACGCUGGCGGCGUGCCUAAUACAUGCAAGUAGAACGCUGAAGGAGGAGCUUGCUUCUCUGGAUGAGUUGCGAACGGGUGAGUAACGCGUAGGUAACCUGCCUGGUAGCGGGGGAUAACUAUUGGAAACGAUAGCUAAUACCGCAUAAUAGCAGUUGUUGCAUGACAACUGUUUGAAAGGUGCAAUUGCACCACUACCAGAUGGACCUGCGUUGUAUUAGCUAGUUGGUGGGGUAACGGCUCACCAAGGCGACGAUACAUAGCCGACCUGAGAGGGUGAUCGGCCACACUGGGACUGGGACACGGCCCAGACUCCUACGGGAGGCAGCAGUAGGGAAUCUUCGGCAAUGGACGGAAGUCUGAACGAGCAACGCCGCGUGAGUGAAGAAGGUUUUCGGAUCGUAAAGCUCUGUUGUAAGAGAAGAACGAGUGUGAGAGUGGAAAGUUCACACUGUGACGGUAUCUUACCAGAAAGGGACGGCUAACUACGUG
This 495-nucleotide ribosomal RNA is filed under the name uncultured bacterium. RNAcentral's name for it is "partial 16S ribosomal RNA". It matches the Rfam family "Bacterial small subunit ribosomal RNA", at positions 28 to 507 of the family's 1533-position model. The record is from RNAcentral.